UGCCCAGCAACUCCUAUCCCUACCUCCUCGCGGUAAUGGCUGGGGUACGAGUAACCUUAGGGAAGAUCGGGUAACCAACCCCCGGUGGGAACUUUGGUCGUAUGCUGACAGGGAAGG
This 117-nucleotide ribozyme is filed under the name Aedes aegypti (yellow fever mosquito). RNAcentral's name for it is "drz-agam-1 ribozyme". It matches the Rfam family "drz-agam-1 ribozyme". The record is from Rfam by way of RNAcentral. Lineage: Eukaryota; Metazoa; Arthropoda; Insecta; Diptera; Culicidae.